CAGUAACACGUGGACAACCUACCCUCCGGACGGGUAUAAACCCGGGAAACUGGGUAUAAUCCCCGAUAGAUCUCGGUCGCUGGAAAGCCCCGAGAUCGAAAGCUCCGGCGCCAGAGGAUGGGUCUGCGGCCUAUCAGGUAGUAGUGGGUGUAGCGUACCUACUAGCCUACGACGGGUACGGGUUGUGAGAGCAAGAGCCCGGAGAUGGAUUCUGAGACACGAAUCCAGGCCCUACGGGGUGCAGCAGGCGCGAAAACUUUACAAUGCCGGCAACGGCGAUAAGGGGACCUCGAGUGCCAGGUUACAAAUCUGGCUGUCGUGAUGCCUAAAAGCAUUGCAUAGCAAGGGCCGGG
This 353-nucleotide ribosomal RNA is filed under the name uncultured Methanosaeta sp. Its description in RNAcentral is "bacterial SSU rRNA". It matches the Rfam family "Archaeal small subunit ribosomal RNA", at positions 91 to 446 of the family's 1478-position model. Lineage: Archaea; Methanobacteriati; Methanobacteriota; Methanomicrobia; Methanotrichales; Methanotrichaceae. The record is from RNAcentral.